This 253-nucleotide ribosomal RNA is filed under the name uncultured bacterium. RNAcentral describes it as "partial 16S ribosomal RNA". It matches the Rfam family "Bacterial small subunit ribosomal RNA", at positions 524 to 776 of the family's 1533-position model. The record is from RNAcentral.
UACGGAGGGUGCAAGCGUUAUCCGGAGUUACUGGGUUUAAAGGGUGAGUAGGCGGGCAUGUAAGUCAGUGGUGAAAUACCGGAGCUUAACUUCGGAACUGCCAUUGAUACUAUAUGUCUUGAAUAUUGUGGAGGUAAGCGGAAUAUGUCAUGUAGCGGUGAAAUGCAUAGAUAUGACAUAGAACACCGAUUGCGGAGGCACCUUGCUACGCAAAUAUUGACGCUGAGGCACGAAAGCGUGGGGAGCAAACAGG